AUGUGCGCCAACCUUCCGGCACCAAUGACUCACCCGGAUCAAAGGGCCCGCGCCUUCAUUAAAGCGCAGCGCAGCCCGGGCAGGAUCCUCAGCGCAACAUCCCCCUGUGCAUGGCGAUUAACGUGGGGGAGAGGAAUCCUUAUUACUUUUUUUUUUUUUUGGCAAAUGUUCACGCUUUUGAUUUUCGAGGGGGGAGCGGUGGGAGGGAACGAGAACAAAAGAGGGAUCUUUUUACCCGGGGAUGACGUCAGGUUGAUGUUACUGACAACUACUCACGCACGGGGAGCGGCUGCGGGCAGCUCUCCUCCCCCACGGCUCCGCACACCCCCGCGCACCCCGGGCCGAGCACGGGACGCGGCCGGCUGCGGGUCACCUCGCCGGGGGCCCGCGGAGGGAGGGGGCGGAAUGGGGACAAGGCUCCGGCCUCGGCCCCGGCGCGCCCGUCGUUCCCGCAGCCCGCCAGAGGACGCGGCAGGAAAACACUCCCCCUACCCCCUCGGGCCCCACCGGGGCCGCUCGUCCUCUCCGAGGGGCGGGGCGGCGACCGUUGGGCCCCCGCCUCCGCGCUCCGCUUCCCGCGGCCGCUCCGGCCUGCGGCGUGGAGGGAGCGUCUCCGUCGGGGGAGCGGGCGGGCUGCGCGCAAAUCCCGGCCUGGAGCCGCCUGGUGCGCGGAGCGCGGUGCCUCCGGCCAGCCUGCACCUUUCCCAAGUCGCGGCGCGGUCUGCCUCAGGGUCCCGCGGCGCCCCGCAUGCCGGAGUGGCUGCCCUGCGCCCGGCGCUGGCGUGGAGCAAUGAGUUGAGCAAUGGAAAGAGAGUAGAGAGUUCCUCCUUUCUCUAAUCUGCAUCACACUUGACUCGUGCGGAAGCACCAUGCCACAGUUUUGUUCCACAGGUACGACUCAGGUUUAUCUGUCUUUUAACCAAAGUUGUUUCCACUGGAACAUUUCUUAAUGGAAACACUUCUAUCACAGUUAAGUUGGUAACAAGUUAUUUGACAGCCUAAAUUUUGAGCUAAACACAGCAGGAGCACUUUCAGCAUACUUUAUCUUACUUGUUUCCAGCCCUUCAGCACGAGAGAUUUCUUUUUCUCUCACUCAGACCUUCUAGAUCAGCAGUUUGCUCAAGAGCAGGAGGCAUCACUCCAGCCAGAGAAUCCAGUGCCUUUGCAGUCAAGUUAACUGGGAGGACAGUUGUUCUGCACCCUCACAGAUUGUGUGUGGGAUGUCUAAUGAAACUGGGUGCUAUUGUAAAUGAUAAAGGAACUUUGUUUUUUAGUGUCCAGAUUCAACUCAUUCAUCAACAUGAUGCAUUUUAUUAUCCUCAUCAGCUCAUGUGCUUUUCCCGAGGGGGGAAAAAAGUGCAAAAUCUCAUUUUAUAGAAGUCAGAAUUCCUCCUAAUUAGUAGAUCUCCUGUUUAGCCAGUACUGUGAAAGAUGUCCUUUUCACUUUAUAUUUAUAUGCUGAGAAACACAUCUGCUGCGCCAGUACAUUUUUCAGUAGCACCUUUUUGUCUGAGAUUAAAAGGAUCCACCUGUAAGUCCUGGACUGACAGACAUGCUCCUGAAGGAGAAAUUACCCUUUCAAGAUAUCCCCAAGAGCUGUAUCCAACCACAGCAUACUGUGGAUGGUACAUUUUUUUGUACAUUGCAGCUUUGCCAAUAUUCGAAUACAAGCCAUAAUUCAGUGGGAGCAUAAAUAACUUCCAUUCAGAGAGAUAGAUGCUGUGGUAGCAGGCCAAAUUGUAAGCCUUGUCAGUGCUUGCAUUUUCACUUUAUCAGCCAUGCAGGAUAAUAUGAUGCUCCUUAUUUAAAUCUUCCAUGCAGAUGUCAUACUGGGUUA
This is a long non-coding RNA of Numida meleagris (helmeted guineafowl), 1837 nucleotides long. The record is from Ensembl. Lineage: Eukaryota; Metazoa; Chordata; Aves; Galliformes; Numididae.